This 263-nucleotide long non-coding RNA is filed under the name Homo sapiens (human). RNAcentral's name for it is "long non-coding RNA NONHSAT236219". Lineage: Eukaryota; Metazoa; Chordata; Mammalia; Primates; Hominidae. The record is from RNAcentral.
CUUUGACACAGGAGAAAAUGGGCCAGGACUCGUGAUAGGAAGACCCCCUCCCCCCACCAAAAAAAGAUUCACAAACUCGGGGGCACUCAGGUCAGGAGGAGGUGCCUCUGCCCUGCUGACUUGAUGCCCAGCACCCUGAGAGAGCACCUGCACCUGGGGAGGAGCCGGCAGCUUCCAGCCCAGCAGGGCAGAGGCUGGGCCUGCGUGACCUAUCACACCUGUCGAGGGAACCGGCCUGAGGGGGUGGGGAAGCCGAUAAAAAC